UUGAUAUUUAAAUUACCUCAUUCACUGUCACUUUUUUAAUUUCUUUUCGAUUAGAUGUCUUUGUAGUAAAAUUAAAAUUUUCUAGAUUUUUGUUUAUUUGAAAUCCCCAGUUUGUGUAAGGUAAAAGAACAUGCCAAAACGUAAAAACAAAACUCAGAUUUUAAAAGAAAUGUUGGUUGAAAGUACUGCCUUUCGAAAGCCGCCAGAAACUAGGGAAAUUCCGGGGGUAAAACGACGAUCGCCAAUGGUACCAGUAGCGCCCUAAAAGGAAAAGACAACCUUGCGCUUUAAAACCCAGUGUUCUUCGCUGGAUUUGCCAUUUGCCACUUGCCGAAAAGUGUUUGGCUACUAAGGAGGCGAUGGUUAUGUAUGUCAACCCGAACUUCAACAAUUGCGGCAGUCAAACCAUUUGCCAUGAGGCAGAUUGCCCAAAAGUUACGAGUUCCCCCAAGUCCAAACCCAAAAAAAAUCCCUAACUAAAAAAGGACUUAACAGGACUCUUUCUUUUGGUUAUCAUACUUAAUAAAUAGCUGAACAUUUCAUGAGUCCAUGUCCCAGGAUUAACGAUCAAUUCUUAUCCUUUUCGAUCUCUCUUAAGUCCUGUGAAAAGGCUUUUAUUUUGUAUACACUUGUGAAUAAAUGAGUAAAUAAAGCUUUCUGGAAAAAUGGUAAGCCAGAUUUUAA
This is a long non-coding RNA of Drosophila gunungcola (fruit fly), 684 nucleotides long. RefSeq lists it as uncharacterized. The record is from RefSeq and is a predicted model, not a curated record. The transcript has 2 exons. Lineage: Eukaryota; Metazoa; Arthropoda; Insecta; Diptera; Drosophilidae.